RNAcentral lists this long non-coding RNA (1802 nucleotides) under Vigna radiata. RNAcentral's name for it is "long non-coding RNA (VRAD_LNC000146)". Lineage: Eukaryota; Viridiplantae; Streptophyta; Magnoliopsida; Fabales; Fabaceae. The record is from RNAcentral.
UUUUACAUUUUUUCCUAUAAAUAGCUGCUACUGGCUGGAGAGCAAUCUAACAUCCCACACGAUUCUCUUCUUCUCUCUUUCAUUAUCAUUAUCAUUAUCAUCAUCCCCUUCCCUUUCUUAUACUCUCUUUUUUCUUUCAGGCUGAGGUAGAACAAGAGCCUGAGAAGGAGGCACUGGUUUUCUAAGGUUGUUGACAGAAGAUAGAGAGCACUGAUGAUGAUAUGCAUAUAUAUAUUAUACUAUAUAUAUAUAUAUAUAGAGAGAGAGAGAGAGAGAGAGAGAGAGAGAGAGAAGGAACUGAUCAAUUGUGCAUCUCACUCCUUUGUGCUCUCUAUACUUCUGUCAUCACCUUCAGCCUCCAUUUCUCAUUCCUCCUCUCUCUACACCAACUGUUGGUAUAUAUAUAUAUAUACACCUCCUUUUAUCAACCACCAAGUUCAUAUAUAAUUUGAAGUUCUUCCUGGAAUCUAACUAGCCACUUUUCUCUACUGAUUGCAGAUGUUACAAUUACACAAUACAAGGUUUUGGCCGCAUCAAUGGAUAGUGAUUCUAGUGAUGGCAUCAACUGUAUUAUUUAUCUUUAAUUUCUUGCAAUAUCAUAAAAUGAUGAAAUGAAUAUAGAUAUCUAGGCCAACAUACGAUUGCUGUAUUAAUUAACCUUUAUGUUUUUGCAGUUAGACGCGUGUGGCUGUUGGACACUAGGAAUUAUCUGUCUGUUGAUGGCAUGAGAGAGUAAGAAUGAGAAACUGAUAAAGGAUUUAGCUUUUUUUGUAAUUUUCUACACCCUUUUGUUCUUUUUCCUGCUGAUUUCCUUCAGUGUGCUAGUGUGUAUAAACAUUUGAUUUGGGCAUAGUAGAUCUGUAUUUUGUGCUUCAAAGAAAAAUCUGACUUCCUUUCAACAAGAAGAAUGUAGUACAAGUUGCUUUAUGGAAGAAGGACCACAUGCAAUUGGAAUUUGUGGCAAGGGAUUGCGAAGAAAAUGUAUGGGGUCCAAUUCAAAACUGACUAUGACAUAUUGUAGGGCACAUACAUACUUGAUUUCUCAGGAUUCUUCCAGUCAGUACCCCACACUCUUGUCAAUGAUUUCCAAGGUGAUCUAGCCAAUAACAAAGGGUCAAGAACAAAACCAAGAUCAAAUAACUUUAUAUAUACUGUAAAUAAUAUCUGGUUAUGGUGAAUGAACAAAAGGUUAAAACUAAAAAGAUAAAAAGGAGAAAGGCACUUUUGACUUGGAUGAAGAUGACCCCACUAUUACUAUUCAUGUGACGUAUUUGAAGUGAGAAAGUGAUAGGAAAUUGAUGUAUAGUAGUAGUAUUAGUGAGAAAGUGGUAUUGCAAUCCAAGAUAGAACCCUUAUAUCUGAUAAACAAUGUGAAGAAGAUACAGUGAAAUAUCACUUGUCUUGCCUGCAAUGCAAGAAACAUGAAAUUAAUGAAAGUAUUCUUCCAUUUUCUAGACCUACUGCUUUAAAGCCAUAGCUCAUUACGAAGGAAAUUUGUUAUUUUCAGAUGACAGAGACCCUUUCCAAAUUUGUAGAUGCAUACUCAUUCUGAUGUGACUUACAUGCUCAUUACUAUUUAAAGACCACUUUCAUAUCAUCAAAUAUAAAACCAGUAAUUCAAAACCAUAAUUAUAACUAAUAAUAAUUUUCUUCUUCUUCAUUGAUUCUAUACAAGUUAAUUACGUGCAUAUAUAGUUUUCACCAGUUUUUCCUCCUGUCAUGCAUAUAAACCAGUAUUUUUGAAAUCAAAAGCUACUGCCAAAACAUACUAAGAUUGCAUAGUUCAACAGAAAUCAAAGGGG